GAUGAAGAACGUAGCGAAAUGCGAUAAGUAGUGUGAAUUGCAGAAUUCAGUGAAUCAUCGAAUCUUUGAACGCACAUUGCGCCCCUUGGUAUCCCGAGGGGCAUGCCUGUUCGAGCGUCAUUUCACCACUCAAGCCUCGCUUGGUGUUGGGCGACGUCCUCUUUGGGGACGCGCCUCGAAACGCUCGGCGGCGUGGCACCGGCUUUAAGCGUAGCAGAAUCUUUCGCUUUGGAAGUCGGGGCCCCGUCUGCCGGAAGACCUGCUCGCAAAGUUGACCUCGGAUCAGGCAGGGAUACCCGCUGAACUUAAGCAUAUCAAUAAGCGGAGGA
This 329-nucleotide unclassified non-coding RNA is filed under the name soil metagenome. RNAcentral describes it as "partial contains 5.8S ribosomal RNA, internal transcribed spacer 2, and large subunit ribosomal RNA". The stretch from base 1 to 120 matches the Rfam family "5.8S ribosomal RNA", at positions 35 to 154 of the family's 154-position model. The record is from RNAcentral.